Long non-coding RNA from Pseudophryne corroboree (corroboree frog), 389 nucleotides. RefSeq lists it as uncharacterized. The transcript has 3 exons. NCBI's taxonomy places the organism in Eukaryota, Metazoa, Chordata, Amphibia, Anura, Myobatrachidae. The record is from RefSeq and is a predicted model, not a curated record.
CAGUGUUGAAGAAAAGCUCUACUGCUCGUCCAGCAGUCAGUCCCAUGACAUCUGAGGAUGAUAACGCUGCGGAAGCAGGUCCCUCAACAGAAGUCUUGAGCAGCAGAAGGCGUUCGCCUGAACCCCUACAAAGAAGGACACAUGUGCCAACAAAGAAAGUACGGUCUGAUGGCCACUCCCAAACACAGCAGGCUACCCGCCACGAAGACUGUCUGCAGUUUCUUUGGUACCACCACUGCAAAUUUUGGACACACCUCCAGGACGCAAACCACACUCUCCAUCUGGAUGAUUCUAGUACUGGUACCAGCAUCCCUACGCAACCAACUCAACACAGUGACAUGGAGGACACAAUCACUUGAUAAUGCCGAUUGAUUACCUUAUAACCUUCA